AAUCAGAAAUGGAUUCGAAUUGUCUUGACUCUCAGUAUAAAGGGACUCUAGUCUCCCCCUCUCCAUCUCAACCUAACCUCAAACCUCACCUUAUCAGUUAUCAUGCAGUUAUCGCACUUACUUACUUUUCACAACACAACUUUCAACACGAAACUCGACCUGCACCUGCUUUUUUAAAAUUCUCCACUUUGUUUUGCGGUAAAUAAUAAGUUUGAAGUAUCCAGAAUUUAAUUAUAUAAAUAAAUAAUUAUACGCAGAAGUAGAAAAUGUCAGAUGAUAUUUCAACCAUCAUAGUCAUAACUCGGAUGAAGCUUCCUGGAAAUGAAAGUGACAUAGAUUCAUCUGACGAUAUAUUUCGGCCAACAAAGAAGGGAGCACAGAAACCAUCAAUUUUGGAACCUAUUGCUGCAACUGAUGGCAAAACAUCAAAAAAACCACCAUCAAGUCAUUUCAGUUGUAAUUCUAGUGAAGCUCACUUGAUAGACAAGAGGAGCUGCACUCGUCCCAAACGUAAUUUUCACAAUGAAAGUUCCAAAUUUUUAUGUGCUUACUGUGCAACUUCCUACUCUUCCAAACUAAGUCUUGACCGUCAUGAAUAUAAGUGCCAAACAAGUGCUGGUGUAAGGGCCAAAUUUUUAUGUGUAUACUGUGCAGAUUCCUUUGCCAGCAGAUGGAGUUGUCGCCGUCAUGAAAAUAAUUGCAUUGCUAAUCCCAGUAAAAACCUCAAAAAAUUUAUGUGUGCUCAAUGCAAUGCAUCGUUCAAGAGAAAAGAAGCUGUAGCCAAGCAUCUACAGACAUGUACAUCUGUAACUUCAAAACCUCAGGAGGGAAGAAAUAAAGUCCCUUGUUUAAUAAAAGAGUGUGGUGAAAAGUUUUACCAUAAAACUAAGUUGAUUGAUCAUAUGCGUUUAGCUCAUCACGACGUAAUCACCAUCCAGCCCAAAAUAUCGAAAACUUUCCCAUCGAUAAAAGAGUUCAGCGUAUGGAAGGAAGAAGAAGAGGAAAACACAUUUUCCUAUUUCACUGCUCGCGGAGGGCAAAAACUGAAGAGCGCUGUGAAAUUAUUAUUGUCAACAUGAUGGCUCUGAAAAAAAUCAUGCUGAGCGAUUGUCAAGUCGACGCCGUAAGAAAGGAAGAGUGAAAGUAGGACAUCAGUGCAUAGCUUUUAUGAGAGUGAAGGAGUCUGAGAACAAAUCUAUUCAUGUUGAUUACCAUCCAACCCAUAGCCAUGUUUGUAAGCAAGAAGAUAUGUUACAUCAUCCCAUACCAGCUGUCAUGUCUAAAUUCAUAAAUGAUAAACUUGCAGAAAACUUACCACCAGACAUAGUCUACGAACUCACAAAAGAACGUUUUCUCUCCAAUCAUAACCCUGCUGUACCCUCUAGAGCAGGUAAUCUUACCAGGAAAUUGAUCAAGGAGCGAAGACGGAAAAUGCUUAAGAAGCGUCAAUCACUUGAAGACAAUGCUGAAGAUUUUCCUUCCAGUGAUGAAAAUUUUUAUAAUUUUGAAAGGGGCAUAAUUAGUGAAGAAUCUGAGGAACAGCAAAUCUUCCUCCACAAGCCAAUCUCUGUACAACCUAAUCUCAAGAAGAAAGCAGUUUCAGAUCAAGGACAGAGACACCGAAUGAAAAGGCAACAAGACAUGAAUGAUGUCAAAGCACUUGCUCCUGUUAACGAGAAUUUUUACAACUUCCAGACAAAUAAUUUUAUAGAUAAUGUUGCUGGUGAGAUUUUGGUUAGUCCUACCAGUAGUACAAAGGGCCUUUUCGAAGGAAUAAAGAGCAAGUUAUCUCGUCUUCAACAGCUCUUAGGUACAGUUGACAUUAACCGUAUACCUGAGCACACCCUCACCAAUAUGGAUACAGUAUUAUCAGAUUUUAUAAGCCAUUUGUCUGAAAAUCAUCAUGAAAAAGCUGAGAAAGUACAGGAUGUAGAUCAUUUGUACUGCUCCGCCAAAUCUAAUUUUUUUUCAUGAAAAGCUUCUGUAUAGAUUCUCAGGUAAGGAGACCAUAACUUUAUCACUAUUACGGAUAGUGAAUUUUUGAAAAAUAAUCAUAAUCCGAGGAUUAUUGGACUUUUUACCAGAAAUUAUUACAGUUCAUUCAUUCACAGUGAAAAUUUAUCUCUUCAAUUUUUGUGUCCGAGAUAAUAAAAAAUCCCUCAAAUUAAAUUAUUGCUGCUGAAGCUUUCAAAAUUAGACAGAAUUUUUAAAAAAUUGGUUUGAUUUCAUUUGUCAGCAGAAAACUUGAAUUUCGAUUGUAUAUUGGUCCCAAUAAUUUGUUGCCAUUUUCCUGAUUAUUUGUGCCAACCAAUCAAUUUG
RNAcentral lists this long non-coding RNA (2319 nucleotides) under Bemisia tabaci. RNAcentral describes it as "lncRNA ENSSSA3NGG004563". Lineage: Eukaryota; Metazoa; Arthropoda; Insecta; Hemiptera; Aleyrodidae. The record is from RNAcentral.